GGAGAGGAGAGGAGAGGAGAGGAGAGGAGAGGAGAGAAGAGGAGAGGAGAGGAGAGGAGGCAAGGCUGAGGAAAAUUCCAUAGUCUUUAUCAGACAUCAGAAAAGGUUAUCACAAUGGUUUCACUGGAUUUUCAAGGUUAUUCACAGAUCAGUGGGUUUUCCGGCUAAUACAGGUCCUGAUGCUCUUCUGUCUUCACACAUGGUAUUCAUCAUAUCUUGACAAGAAAAGACCUUCAGUCUACAAAUAACCUUCACUGAAGUAAGACAUGUUUGUCUACUGAGUUUGGAGCCCUACUCAUCUAGGAGGAGCCAGCCCAGAAAUACUGUUGCAGCAUAUAGUACAGUAAUUCAAAACCAUGGAAAUCACUUGAUUGCCAGCUGAAUCGACUUUCAAAGGUUUCAUUCAAAGAUACUAAGCUCAAAGACAGCCUUAAUGAUCUGGAAAUACAAAAAGAUAAAUUCAGCAAUGUAUCAAAAUAAUAUUUAUUCACAACUGGUUUUGUCUGCGU
Molecule: long non-coding RNA, 509 nt
Organism: Grus americana (Whooping crane)
Lineage: Eukaryota; Metazoa; Chordata; Aves; Gruiformes; Gruidae
Exons: 3
Source: RefSeq, a predicted model, not a curated record